ACUUAAAUUGAAGAGUUUGAUCAUGGCUCAGAUUGAACGCUGGCGGCAGGCCUAACACAUGCAAGUCGAGCGGUAGCACAGAGAGCUUGCUCUCGGGUGACGAGCGGCGGACGGGUGAGUAAUGUCUGGGAAACUGCCUGAUGGAGGGGGAUAACUACUGGAAACGGUAGCUAAUACCGCAUAACGUCGCAAGACCAAAGUGGGGGACCUUCGGGCCUCAUGCCAUCAGAUGU
Molecule: ribosomal RNA, 233 nt
Filed under: Klebsiella pneumoniae
Lineage: Bacteria; Pseudomonadati; Pseudomonadota; Gammaproteobacteria; Enterobacterales; Enterobacteriaceae
Description: partial 16S ribosomal RNA
Rfam family: Bacterial small subunit ribosomal RNA
Source: RNAcentral